RNAcentral lists this transfer RNA (83 nucleotides) under Planctopirus ephydatiae. Its description in RNAcentral is "tRNA-Ser". The record is from RNAcentral. Lineage: Bacteria; Pseudomonadati; Planctomycetota; Planctomycetia; Planctomycetales; Planctomycetaceae.
GGAAGACAUCCGGCUGGAUGAGGAAACCGUCUUGAAAACGGCUGGCGCCUGGCGCUUCGGGGUUCGAGUCCCUGGUCUUCCGC